UCUGCCUCAGCCUCCCAAGUGGCUGGGAUUACAGGCGCACACCACCACACCCAGCUAAUUUUCUUUUCUUUUUGUUAAGAGACAGGGUCUCACUCUGUCACCCAGGCUGGAGUGCAAUGGCGCGAUCUCGGCUCACUGCAACCUCGAACUCCUGGGCUCAGGGGAUUCUCCAGCCUCAGCCUCCCGAGUAGCUGGGAUUACAGAUGUGUGCCACCACGCGUGGCUAAUUUUUGUAUUUUUAGUAGAGACAAGGUUUAACCAUGUUGGCCAGGCUGGCCUCAAACUCCUGACCUCAAAUGAUUUGCCCGCUUCAGCCUCCCAAAGUGCUGUGAUUACAGACUUGAGCCACCACGCCUGGUCUAAAAAGUUUUUUUUUUAAAGUAAUACAUGUGUAUGUUGCAUUCUGUCCCCAUUUGUUUUAGUGUAAUUAUUUUUCUCCCAAGUCUUUUAAUAAAACUAUCCUUCCAGGAAUAAGCACCACAUUGACAUAGUGACUUGCCGCAGCUUCAGCGACCUUAUUAGAGCAGCUUAGCCUUAGUCCAUCUGAUCCCAAAUCCCGCUCUGCCAGGGUUUCAGGAGGCUGGAGCGAGGACUGUCCCAUCCCCUGCUGAGGUGGCUGAUCAGCCAGACCGGCAGGACAUCUGCUCCCAGCCUGUCUCUCAAUGGAGGAAGGUGGGCCUUGAUGUUGAUGUCAGCCCCAAAGGCUAUGGAGGGCCUGCAAACCCCACCACAGACACACACCAGCCCUCCCACAACUGACGGUGUGAGCUGUCAUCAACCUCAAGUCACUCUCAUGACAGCCAAGGCCACCUCACGUCACUCCUGACCCAGAAUUUCAUCACCCCCGUCCAGAGGUCACAAACUAAACUGAAGGCCCGAGGGACUUGUUCACCUGGCUCUCAGGAUGUUACUAUCCCCCCUCUGAAACGAGUCCCCAAAACUUAAAAAUUCAACAAUCGGCCAGGCACAGUGGGUCAUGCCUGUAAUCCCAGCACUUUGGGAGGCUGAGGCAGACAGAUCACUUGAGGUCAGGAGUUAAGACCAGCCUGGCC
Molecule: long non-coding RNA, 1052 nt
Filed under: Homo sapiens (human)
Lineage: Eukaryota; Metazoa; Chordata; Mammalia; Primates; Hominidae
Description: HSALNT0397443
Source: RNAcentral